GUCAUUCCGUUGGGGUGCCCCUUCCCGGGGGCUGAGAGGCCAGGUGCCAACCCAUCGAACCUGAUCCGGCUAGGACCGGCGUAGGGAACGGAGAGCAGCCCGGG
This 104-nucleotide non-coding RNA is filed under the name Cystobacter fuscus. Its description in RNAcentral is "TPP sequence". It matches the Rfam family "TPP riboswitch aptamer (THI element)". Rfam says of the family: Vitamin B(1) in its active form thiamin pyrophosphate (TPP) is an essential coenzyme that is synthesised by coupling of pyrimidine and thiazole moieties in bacteria. The previously detected thiamin-regulatory element, thi box was extended, resulting in a new, highly conserved RNA secondary structure, the THI element, which is widely distributed in eubacteria and also occurs in some archaea. The record is from RNAcentral. Lineage: Bacteria; Pseudomonadati; Myxococcota; Myxococcia; Myxococcales; Archangiaceae.